GGCAGUGGUUGCUAGAUGGUUAAAGCUCUGAAAUACUGAUCAGAAGGUCGGGGGUUCAAGCCCCAGCACUGCCA
Non-coding RNA from Ameiurus melas (black bullhead), 74 nucleotides. NCBI's taxonomy places the organism in Eukaryota, Metazoa, Chordata, Actinopteri, Siluriformes, Ictaluridae. The record is from the annotation of a GenBank genome assembly.